Molecule: ribosomal RNA, 468 nt
Filed under: uncultured bacterium
Lineage: Bacteria
Description: partial 16S ribosomal RNA
Rfam family: Bacterial small subunit ribosomal RNA
Source: RNAcentral
GACGAACGCUGGCGGCGUGCUUAACACAUGCAAGUCGAACGGAAAGGCCCUGCUUUUGUGGGGUGCUCGAGUGGCGAACGGGUGAGUAACACGUGAGUAACCUGCCCUUGACUUUGGGAUAACUUCAGGAAACUGGGGCUAAUACCGGAUAGGAGCUCCUGCUGCAUGGUGGGGGUUGGAAAGUUUCGGCGGUUGGGGAUGGACUCGCGGCUUAUCAGCUUGUUGGUGGGGUAGUGGCUUACCAAGGCUUUGACGGGUAGCCGGCCUGAGAGGGUGACCGGCCAAAGUGGGACUGAGAUACGGCCAAGACUCAUACGGGAGGCAGCAGUGGGGAAUAUUGCACAAUGGGCGGAAGCAUGAUGCAGCAACGCCGCGUGCGGGAUGACGGCCUUCGGGUUGUAAACCGCUUUCGCCUGUGACGAAGCGAGAGUGACGGUAAUGGGUAAAGAAGCACCGGCUAACUACGUG